This 199-nucleotide long non-coding RNA is filed under the name Vigna radiata. Its description in RNAcentral is "long non-coding RNA (VRAD_LNC010332)". Lineage: Eukaryota; Viridiplantae; Streptophyta; Magnoliopsida; Fabales; Fabaceae. The record is from RNAcentral.
AAUGGUCUAAGGUUCAACAAAUCUGUACAUGGAAGACCGACCUUGGUCCACAAUGAAAGUGUCCAUGUACCUAAAACAACAAAGUUAAGUUGUUAGAAACUAAUAAUCUAAAUAUAACUAAUAUGGAAGACAAAAUUAACUAUCUUACAUGCACCAUAGUUGAAGGAUGGAAAUAUUCAACAUUUUGUCUCCCCCAACG